CCUACGGGGCGCUGCAGUGGGGAAUAUUGCACAAUGGGGGAAACCCUGAUGCAGCGACGCCGCGUGAGUGAAGAAGUAUUUCGGUACGUAAAGCUCUAUCAGCAGGGAAGAAAAUGACGGUACCUGACUAAGAAGCCCCGGCUAACUACGGGCCAGCAGCCGCGGUAAUACGUAGGGGGCAAGCGUUAUCCGGAUUUACUGGGUGUAAAGGGAGCGUAGACGGCAGCGCAAGUCUGGAGUGAAAUCCCAUGGCUUAACCAUGGAACUGCUUUGGAAACUGUGCAGCUAGAGUGCAGGAGAGGUAAGCGGAAUUCCUAGUGUAGCGGUGAAAUGCGUAGAUAUUAGGAGGAACACCAGUGGCGAAGGCGGCUUACUGGACUGUAACUGACGUUGAGGCUCGAAAGCGUGGGGAGCAAACAGGAUUAGAUACCCCAGUAGUC
This 440-nucleotide ribosomal RNA is filed under the name uncultured bacterium. RNAcentral's name for it is "partial 16S ribosomal RNA". It matches the Rfam family "Bacterial small subunit ribosomal RNA", at positions 338 to 795 of the family's 1533-position model. The record is from RNAcentral.